Molecule: ribosomal RNA, 960 nt
Filed under: Mesocriconema sp. MIZO_15a
Lineage: Eukaryota; Metazoa; Nematoda; Chromadorea; Rhabditida; Criconematidae
Description: partial large subunit ribosomal RNA
Rfam family: Eukaryotic large subunit ribosomal RNA
Source: RNAcentral
CAGGGACCAGUCCAGCGCUGAAUCUCGACGUCUCGGCGUCGCGACGUGUAGCGUAUAGGCGGUGUUCUUGGCUGUGGUCGAAGGCACAAGUUUCCCAUGACCGGGGCGCCAUAGAAGGUGAUAGACCUGUAGCGCCUGAGACCGCAGUCAACCGCGCCGUCUUGGAGUCGGGUUGUUUGGGAUCGCAGCCCAAAGAAGGUGGUAAACUUCAUCUAAGACUAAAUAUCCCUACGAGACCGAUAGCGAACAAGUACCGUGAGGGAAAGUUGCAAAGCACUUUGAAGAGAGAGUUAAAGAGGACGUGAAACCGGUAGGAUGGAAACGGAUAGAGCCAGCGAAGUCGCUCGUAUUCAGCCAAAGGCCCGGGGUUCGCCGCUGUCGUGUUUCUAAUCGUACACGCCGGUGGUCCAGCCCUGGGUUGAGGUGCAUUUGCGGGCGUUUGCGCUGAGACUUGCGAGGCAGCUGCUGGAAGGGCGUUCUAGAGGCUUCCCUUUGGGUUGAACCUGGAUGCCAUGACAGCUGUUUGCCUUGCUCGUACUGGUCUGGCCUACGGACCCUGGUCGUUCCGUUGCCAACGGGCCAAGGCAUCGCAUGCGAUGUCUAGUCUGGGGGUAGCGGGUCGGCUUGGUGUUCCCAGACCGCCUCUCGGUGUAGAAGCUGGUUAUCUCUCCGACCCGUCUUGAAACACGGACCAAGGAGUUUAGCGUAUGCGCGAGUCAUUGGGUGCAAAACCCACAGGCGCAAUGAAAGUAAAGGCUCGGUCGCCGGGCUGACAUGCGAGUGCCGCGGCUUUGGCCUAGGCAUGCAGCAUGGUCCCGUUGCAGCCGCUUGCGGCGCAGCGGAGACAGAGCGUAUGCGCUGAGACCCGAAAGAUGGUGAACUAUUCCUGAGCAGGACGAAGCCAGAGGAAACUCUGGUGGAAGUCCGAAGCGAUUCUGACGUGCAAAUCGAUCGUCUGAC